Long non-coding RNA from Pyrus x bretschneideri (Chinese white pear), 381 nucleotides. RefSeq lists it as uncharacterized. NCBI's taxonomy places the organism in Eukaryota, Viridiplantae, Streptophyta, Magnoliopsida, Rosales, Rosaceae. The record is from RefSeq and is a predicted model, not a curated record. The transcript has 3 exons.
ACAUACACACACACUCUCAGACACUGUCACCCUUUCUUUCCCUCUGUCUCUUCCCUGUCUCUCUCUCUCUCCCCCGAGCUCCAUUCCUCCUUCUUCCCUCUGUAAACGUACGGACAAACCCACAACCCACCAAAUCCUCACAGAUCGUAGAAACCAACUACACCAUUGAACUCGUGAGGUCGAGGCGAGCACAGCCAUACCCUUUACAGCUCGUAGGCAGCUUGGUGGUGCCACGAGGAGACUCGGAGUACUUUGUUGGACGAUUUUGGACGUCGGGAUCACCGUGGUCGAAGUUGGUCGAGUUUUGGAUUGUGAGACAGGUGGCACGUAUCCCGAGGACGAGCGUGCACAUUCGAGGCAGGGGGGCUACGACCCUUCCAC